AAUUCUCAAACUUCAUUUAUGUUUUUUAAACAAUGAAGCUUGGAUAAUUGAGAGUUGCUAAAUUUCUUUAAUUUAGCUCUCUUAAAAUAUAUUAGCAAGAUCAUCACUGAUUGUCUAUGAUAUAAUAAUUAUCUAUAUCGUUAAAAUCUAAUGGUGAUGUGUUUUGCUUCUAAUUGUUUUUUCAAAAACAAAAAUACCAA
This 200-nucleotide unclassified non-coding RNA is filed under the name uncultured Entoloma. RNAcentral describes it as "sequence contains ITS2". The record is from RNAcentral. Lineage: Eukaryota; Fungi; Basidiomycota; Agaricomycetes; Agaricales; Entolomataceae.